GAGGAAUAGAUGGAUGAGCAUAUAUUCCACCAUGGGGAUACAUAGUGACAUAAGGAUGUGGUGGAGUACCAUAGGGUGGCAUAAGAUGCUGAACUCCCCACAUGUAAGGGUGUGCUUGAGGACUUGAAGCCAUGAACCCAUGUGGAGGCAUCGGUGAAUAUCCCUGAAAUCCGGGCCACUCUGGAUUUGCUGUACCAGUAGCAGUAGAUGAAGCUUGCUCCUGUGAAUUGGGAGUCUUCGUCUCCUUUGACUCCUUUGCCUCCUUAGAGGAUUUGUCAAUAUCACUGCUCCCCAUGGCUAAACUGCACCACUACCUCAAACACUCCUCAAACCAUCCGGGAAGAUAAACAGAGACACCAGUGAAUCUGAAAAUUUGGGUCUGCUUCAGCUGUA
Molecule: unclassified non-coding RNA, 393 nt
Filed under: Hevea brasiliensis (rubber tree)
Lineage: Eukaryota; Viridiplantae; Streptophyta; Magnoliopsida; Malpighiales; Euphorbiaceae
Source: RNAcentral